GUAUGGCCUGCCCAAGUCUUAGAGAAAUAUAAAAGUAUACAUAAACUUGCCACAACAUAUACUUGCAGACCUGAAAACCUUUUACACCUGUCUUUUGAGUCUCAGGAAUCAAGGCAAAACUGACUAGCUUUGUUUUGUACAUUGUACUGUCAUUAUGAUAAUGAACUUAAAGCUGUACCCCAGGACACCUAAACAUUUUCCCUUGCAGUGGGGCUAUACCCGCACUGCAAGGGUUAACUGCUCACUUCUGUCUAACGUGUUUGGAAAAGCAGAAUUACUUACCAAAUUCUCUGCUCCUGCAGGCUCCUCCUCACUGAUAGACCAGUCCUUGCAGCCUUUUCCCCCCCAGCGCUCCAGUGGUCUAAGGUCUUCUGAAGUCACUAAGACUGAUGCAAGGUACAUAACCCUGCGUUAGAUGUGAGAACGCUGAGGGACAGUCCACUGAUGUGGAGUGCCGUCUGCUGGGGGAGCAGAGGAUCAGAUUUUCUCUCACUCCCUGGAAGGUGAAACUACUGUUGGCAGAAGUGGGGUUAAAUCUCCCAUCUCCGGAGAACAUUAAAAACCCAACAAGAAUUUGAAUCCUUCCCCACUCUAUCCCAAACUACAAAAAAAAAAAAACAAUUGGCUUGACAUACACAGUAAAACCAGUUACUUUUUUUAAUUCUGACUCUAAUAGCCUGUACACACGAUUCGAAAAUUGGACAACAGAUCGUCCGGAUUUUUUUUGUAUGCUAGGCACAUAUCGAAAAUGAAGAAGUUAUGAAAAAUCUCGUACGACAGAAUAAAAAAACGGAAGUGAUGUAAUGUGUUGUAGUGUAUUUCUAUUGUAUUUUCGGACGACAACUGUACCGAAUAAACAAAAUUCAUACAA
Rana temporaria (common frog) is the source of this 871-nucleotide long non-coding RNA. RefSeq lists it as uncharacterized. The record is from RefSeq and is a predicted model, not a curated record. The transcript has 2 exons. Lineage: Eukaryota; Metazoa; Chordata; Amphibia; Anura; Ranidae.